This 71-nucleotide transfer RNA is filed under the name Candidatus Wolfebacteria bacterium RIFCSPLOWO2_01_FULL_45_19. Its description in RNAcentral is "tRNA-His". It matches the Rfam family "tRNA". Rfam says of the family: Transfer RNA (tRNA) molecules are approximately 80 nucleotides in length. Their secondary structure includes four short double-helical elements and three loops (D, anti-codon, and T loops). The record is from RNAcentral. Lineage: Bacteria; Candidatus Wolfeibacteriota.
GUGCCCGUAGCUUAGUGGCAAAGCUUCCCGCUGUGGCCGGGAUGACACGGGUUCGAUCCCCGUCGGGCGCC